AUAUAUAUAUAUAUAUAUAUAUAUAUAUAUAUACAUCAAAAACGUCUUUGAUCCGAAUAAAUCUGUAGGAUUGUGUUUCUCUCUUUUGGGAAUCAAUCUGGGGUGUUUCGGGAAUGGAGUUUUCUCGGAAACGGAAAGUAUGUCGCGUUUAUGAGCCUUAGACAAGUCUUGAAAAUUAAUUAUUUGGUGAAAAAUAAUUAAUUUAGAUUUGUUCAGGGGGUGUCAUAAUUCGUUUCGAAAGUUGUCAGUUUCAGGAAACGGAACUGUAAAAUUGCGGGGCUUUUUCUGAAAAAGGUUGGGGAAAAGUCUCUCCUUUUUGACUUUCUUUCCUUCUUUUCUUCUUCUUCUUUCACAAUCAUUGAGAACAAGAAACGCAAAAAAAAUACAGAGGUUUUGUGCGUUGGAGAGAAAGAGAGAAAGAGAGAAAAGAAGAGAGGAGAAGAGAAGAGAAGAGAAGAGAAGAGAAGAGAAGAGAAGAGAAGAGAAGAGAAGCAGCAGAACGCGUUUUGGUAGAACAGAGGAUCGACCUAGCAAAUCGUCUCCUUUCUGGACGUAAUUUUCAGGGAUUGUAGAUCGUUUGUUUCAGACGCGAUUUGGAUCAUCGCCUGUUCAAAAGACGAUCGUGAGUGAACCGGUUAUCUGAUCGUUACGAAAUUUGGUGGAAUUGUAGACGCGAUUUGGGACCAGCGUGGGUUCAGGGUAGGAUCGCGAGUUCAUCUGUGAACGGAUCAUCACGAAACUUUGUGGGUAGCUUCAGGACAUCUAGAGGCUUAUUUUCACCGGAGCGAUUUCGAAGUGAGCGGUUAGAUUUUGUUGCACGAGCCAACCUUUGAGACAGACCGUUUCUGUUCUUUCCCAGUUUAUGGGUUAAGUGUUGUUUUGGUUGUUGGGUUGGCUGUAGGGUGUGAGUUAGAGGAAGGGCGAGCUGUGGUUGGCGUGUGAGUGAGUCACGGUUGGGUUGCUGUUGUGGUUCUUGUCCAAAACUCGUUCCUUGUUUCGAGGUGAGUGCGUGACCAUGAGCUUAUCUAAGCGAUUGGGGUUUUGUGACUUGUUUGUGUGAUGUGUAGGUUGGAUUUUUGAUGGAUCCAAUAGUUUAAACCGUAAGAUGGUUGUGUUAUUGGAUGAUUGUCAUUGGUUUGUUUGUUUUUCAUGAAUUAUGUGUUGAGUUGCGAUCUUCGUUGCUUGUGUGUAUAGCUCGUAGAUGGGAGGAUCGCCUCACUAAGUAUUUUGGUAAUACUUACGCAUCUCUGUGUGUUCUUGAGUUGCAGGUAAGGAUAAAGUGUGAACGUGGAAUCAUGGCGAUGAGGAGGAGGAUGAUCUAGGGUCUCGUCGUUGUUGUUGUAUAAUGUGGUUGUCGAGUCAUAGUAUUUAUGUUUAAUAACUCAAAAACGGUUUGUUUAUGUGUGUUUAAUUUUCGGAUAAUUUGUGUUUUAUGGUUAAACCGGAUUUAUUUAAUAAGUUAAGCGAAUUGGGUUGCUUUGUUUAA
Arabidopsis lyrata subsp. lyrata is the source of this 1486-nucleotide long non-coding RNA. RefSeq lists it as uncharacterized. The transcript is spliced from 3 exons. Lineage: Eukaryota; Viridiplantae; Streptophyta; Magnoliopsida; Brassicales; Brassicaceae. The record is from RefSeq and is a predicted model, not a curated record.